Non-coding RNA from Physcomitrium patens, 2704 nucleotides. NCBI's taxonomy places the organism in Eukaryota, Viridiplantae, Streptophyta, Bryopsida, Funariales, Funariaceae. The record is from RefSeq and is a predicted model, not a curated record.
CGCAUCGAGAGGGUCCGUUUGCAGUUCUGUUUGUGAUAUCAGAUUCUUCGCAACUGUGCACUCUUCUGAACAUAAGCACAAGUCCACGAACCUCGUCAGUCCUUCAGCAUAGUUCCUUUUCGAGUCCGGAUGAGUCGCCCUGCACCCAUUGGAACAGGAGAGAAAGAGUCAUGAUCACUGACUGUGCAACUGGGCUCCCAUGAGUUAUGCAUGUGGGCAGUCGAGAGCUUUUACUUUCACUCUUUGCAGCCCCAGAUACGGCUUCCCACUGCUGCAAGCAAAUAUUGCGGUGCGUUUCUCCUGCCCAUAGCGGAUAUGGAAGGGAGAAAAACAAAUCAUUCGGAAAUUUGACGGGCCCCUCGGUCAAAACAUUCCCGCGUACCACACUCCAUUCAGCUCUAAUAAAUCUAGAGACUCUGACACCUGUAUGAAAAUUCGAGGGAUGGCUGCAACAAACUGGCUUUCAGAAAUGCUCAUCGCUGAGUCUCGAGAUUUAUUGUCGUGACCCUGACACCUUGGUGUCAGAUCGCGACUCUACUUAAACCGAGCGAUUCCUCCUGAAACCAGUGCUGGGUUGUGAUAGCGCACAGUUGUGGAGUUGGGUUUGAAAAAGGAGCUGCCGUGUUUCAACCUGGCAUGCGGUUUACACAGGGGGUAACGACAUCGCCAGUGCGACCCACGCUGUGCUAUUGCAGGGGGUUCUGUUAUAAAGUGCUGACUCAGAUGGAGUCCAGCAUAGGAUUGAUCCCGAAAGCAUGUGACAGCAAGGAGUUGUGUGUAACAUGAAGCUAGCUUGAAUCGUCCGUGAAGAGUUGACGUAGGAUGGGUUGUGGGUUUCAUGAUGUGUUGGAUCUGUAUCUGCGUAACACUAUGCAUUGCCUAGUUUUCGUCUUCUUUGAUGUCCGCUUCUAUGAUGCAUGCUGAGCAACCCACUCUUAUGGCCAAGAUUUAUGGUAGUCCGUAGGACUGUGAGGUUUAUGCAUACUUUGGAGGAGGAAGAGAUCAUGUUUUUAUGCUGAGUUUCACCAUUUUUCAAUUCUUCGUGUGAAGGUUUCUUUCAGUAAUGAGUUUUUUAGCGAAAUUCUUAGGUGUAUAUACCUCAAAGACGGCCUUUUUGGAAAGGACCUACUUCGCAGGCAAUAAUUUGUAUGUGAUAUAAUAUUCGCAGGGCCUGCUCCUCCCGGCCUUUCAGGUUACUUUUGAGAUAUUCACUUGAUCGACUUAGGAGAUUGUUUGUCGACGGUUUUGUUGGAACUUGAAAUCCCUGCUGCAAGAUUUUUUUCAUCGUUGUUCGUUUGCUGAACUUUAGCGAUGCUGUUCCUAGGUCUGACUUUGAAGUGAUAUCUACCGACUCUUAGAUUACAAGCAUAGGCAGUGGGGACACAAAUGCUGGUUUUGUUUGAUCAUGGUGUGGUUUUAGUUGCGGAUUCAGAGAAUUGGUCUGUUCUCUGAUUUCGAUGAUUAAUUCACCUGCAGAGCAUGGAUGGAGAUCGUGCUCUUGCUCAUGUUUAAAUCAGCUGCAUGAAAAAAUAUCUUGGUUCAGUGUCCCGAAUUGAAUGCUCUUCCAUCUGUAAUGCGGCUGGUAUCAUCUGUUUCAAAAUGACCAAGUGAAAGAUUGCCUAGGAGCAAUUAUUGAGAAGCUUCAGAAACUUUUUACUUCACGUGCCGUGUGUGCAAACCCCCUCACCAUUUGUGCUUGAGACUGUCGCUCAUUUUCCUCUGGAGACGUGUUGAACAGAAAAAAGGCGCGCUUUAUACUGUAAUACGAACAUACUUACAACCAAUAUAGAUUGGAAAUGCUGCAGAUUUCUUCAGCUCCUUUAGGGAAUGAAAAGAAUCAAGGUGCAGAAUCUGAUCAGCUGCUGUAUGAUAACUUUGAAAAAGUUUCUCCCGCACCCUAGAACCAGGACACAGGAAUACGAUGCAACAAAGCUGUGCUGACUGAAAUUCUCGGUAAUUGCUCGUAUUUGGAGAGCCAGGCGACUGUGCCAUGGCUUCCAGUCUCGUAUAUGAUCAACGCACGGAAAGUAGCGCUAACCUACUGUCUGUCUGAGCGCCACAGUAAGUUCUGUUUAGUACAAAAGUCAUAGAUGCACAAUUUAGAUAUCUUGGAAAGAUCCACUGGGAUAACCUAUCAUCAUAUUCUCAGGCGGAGGGUACAUUAAAAUGAAAUUGAGUUAUUAUAUUUUUAGUAUGAAGAACUCAACUAAAAUAUAAUAUCAAAACCAACAACAUGAAAACACAGAAAUUUAAGGCAUUAUAACUCAUAUGUCAACUUUGUGAUUGAAGAGAUCACUAUUCAAUAUUAUGAGGCAAUCUUAGUUUAGGUUAUGUCAUUCUUUUUAAGUCAGCUAUGAGUCAUGACAUUAGUCUAGAAUAGAAACAAAUAUGACUUCCAUUGACUAGAAUAGAAACAAAUAUGACUUCCAUUGACUAGAAUAGAAGUCAUGACUUCCAUAUGACUUCCAAUAUAAGGAUGUUAAUGCAAGACAAGAGUAUAUAGAAAUUACUCUAUACGUAAAAGAGAGAGGUGUGCACAGAUAUUUUGAUGGAAAUGAAAGAAAUAGUGAUCUCUUAGAAAUUAUGAAUCUGGUAUCAAAUCAGAGAAAGGAGAGAGUUCAUUCUUAAAUAGGUAAAGCAUUGAUUAUUGAGUACAACAUGUUCUUGAAAAACAUACAUCAGUAAAUAUAUUAUUUUGAGAAUA